UCUUACACACAACCUCAAAGUUCUUGGCAAGCUGAGGUACAUCUUCAUUGCUGUCAUCUUCCACAACUAUCAUGAGUGGCACAGAAAUUUACUUUUCAAUAUAAAAUGAAGAUCUAGCGGAGAGAAUUUCCUGAAACAAAAGUCAACAAACAUGAAGGGUCCUUGUGCCAGGAACCACGGUGGGGACUUUCACAUAAGAUGAAACAUUUAAUACUUAUAGAAAUUGGAUACCUAUAAACCAUGUGUUGUAUUGGAACAAUGUCGUAAUUGAUAAUUGAGAAAAAGUGAUAUUCAGAGAGUGAGCCAAGGAACUCUGAACAACCCCAAUAUACCUCUAUAUAUUCCCAAAGCACAAAUCCCAGUUUAAAAAGCACAGGCAAGAACUGUUUUGAUAUUUCCUUCAACAUUUCAGCAACAGUUUUAAAUAAUAAGACACUGUACUAGGCACUCUGGGACAAAGAUGAUUAAGAUGCUUACACUGAAUCCUCAAUUCCAAAUGUCUCCCUCCAUCUUGCAAAAGCUAGAAGACUUAGGACUCAACUUAAAAGCUACUGCCACCAAUAGACCUUUCUGAUUAUCCUAGUCUGAAAUAUUCUUUCUUAGGGGACCCUUUAGAUUUCAUUUUAACCACUCAUGGUACAUUUGUACACACAUCUCUUUUUGAUUUCUAGAAUAGACACUCCUUAAGGGUAGGGUCAUUGCUUAUGCAUGACUUUAUCUCCAUAACGUCUUGUAUAUUUGGGAAUAGUGAGGUGAGGAGUUAAGGACAGACAGUAUCAUCCAAGUCUGCAGUCAUGCUGGAUUUAAAUUUAAGAUCUACCACUCAUUUUAGAUAUGUAAUAUGGAGUAAGUUUACUUAGCUUCUCUCUGGUUUGACUUUAAACCAGAAAUAAUACUUAUGUGUACCUCUUGAUGUUAGAAUUAAAUUUAGAGAUCAGUUACAGCAGUGCUUGGCCUAUGGUAAUCACCCCAUAAACAUUAUAAUUCUUAUCUGCCAGCUAUUAUGAGUUAUCAGAUGGCAAAUGUUUAGCAAAGUGUACAGCACAGAGUAAAAAUUUUGGAAUAAAUAAACAAAUUUAUGUUUUGUACAUUCUACAGAUGAUUUACAACACAGUGAUCCCUUAGUAUCUAUGGAAGAAUUGCUCCAGCACUUCAGCCCACACUUUAUGGAUAGGAAAAAUCUAUGGAUGCUCAAGUCAAAUUACAGUAUUUGCAUAUAACCUACACAUAACCUCCUACAUACUUUAAAUCAUUUCCAGAUUACUUGUAAUAUCUAAUGUGAUGUAAAUGUUGUAUAGCUGUUAUAUUGUAUUGUUUAGGAAAUAAUGACAAGAAGAAAAGCUUUGAUUAUAUUCAAUUUUCCCCUAAAUAUUUUCAACUUGCAGUUGGCUGAAUCUAUGGAUGUGGAACCAAUGGAUGUAGCACUAUAUAUUAAAGAAUGAAGGCAAUAUUUCAGGUUAAAAAUACUUGAUUCUUGAAAUUAGACGAAUGCAAGAGCCUUUUUCAAAAUUUUUCAUUAUAGGAAACACAGCAGACUCAAAUCAGCAAAGACUGUUUGUAUGUCUUGUUUAGGGGGACUCAUGAAAGACUACAGAUCAGAAUGGUGUUGGGAGAGGUAUCUAAUGAGGCAACACAAUAAAUUUUAUGCAAAAUUUUCUUCCUCUAAUCAUUUUUCUGAGAGUAUCCACAGCUUUCACCAGUUUACCCAAGAGAUCAACCUCUGUUGUCCCAACUCCAUCACUAUCUGCCUUUUAUAGACUUAAUUUUUUUUAACGGUAAGAGACUUGAAAUAAUGAAUCUCUACAAUCUUCAAGCUCCAAAAUCUUUGGUUAUGUGCUUCAUAGCAAGCUUUUUAAAAGGCACGACAAUGUUUAAAAAUAAAAAUA
Heterocephalus glaber (naked mole-rat) is the source of this 1886-nucleotide long non-coding RNA. RefSeq lists it as uncharacterized. The record is from RefSeq and is a predicted model, not a curated record. Lineage: Eukaryota; Metazoa; Chordata; Mammalia; Rodentia; Bathyergidae.